This 486-nucleotide ribosomal RNA is filed under the name uncultured bacterium. Its description in RNAcentral is "partial 16S ribosomal RNA". It matches the Rfam family "Bacterial small subunit ribosomal RNA", at positions 30 to 507 of the family's 1533-position model. The record is from RNAcentral.
AUUGAACGCUGGCGGCAUGCCUUACACAUGCAAGUCGAACGGCACCACGGGUGCUUGCACCUGGUGGCGAGUGGCGAACGGGUGAGUAAUACAUCGGAACAUGUCCUGUAGUGGGGGAUAGCCCGGCGAAAGCCGGAUUAAUACCGCAUACGAUCUACGGAUGAAAGCGGGGGACCUUCGGGCCUCGCGCUAUAGGGUUGGCCGAUGGCUGAUUAGCUAGUUGGUGGGGUAAAGGCCUACCAAGGCGACGAUCAGUAGCUGGUCUGAGAGGACGACCAGCCACACUGGGACUGAGACACGGCCCAGACUCCUACGGGAGGCAGCAGUGGGGAAUUUUGGACAAUGGGCGAAAGCCUGAUCCAGCAAUGCCGCGUGUGUGAAGAAGGCCUUCGGGUUGUAAAGCACUUUUGUCCGGAAAGAAAUCCUUGGCCCUAAUACGGUCGGGGGAUGACGGUACCGGAAGAAUAAGCACCGGCUAACUACGUG